AGAGGUGGCAAGCGUUGUUCGGAAUUACUGGGCGUAAAGGGCGCGUAGGCGGUUCGUUAAGUCCUGUGUGAAAUCCCCCGGCUCAACUGGGGAACGGCACAGGAAACUAGCGGGCUUGAGUUCGGGAGAGGGAAGCGGAAUUCCGGGUGUAGCGGUGAAAUGCGUAGAUAUCCGGAGGAACACCGGUGGCGAAGGCGGCUUCCUGGACCGACACUGACGCUGAGGCGCGAAAGCUAGGGGAGCAAACGGGAUUAGAUACCCCGGUAGUCCUAGCUGUAAACGAUGAGUGCUGGGUGUAGGGGGUAUCAACCCCCCCUGUGCCGAAGCUAACGCAUUAAGCACUCCGCCUGGGGAGUACGGUCGCAAGGCUG
This 371-nucleotide ribosomal RNA is filed under the name uncultured bacterium. RNAcentral describes it as "bacterial SSU rRNA". It matches the Rfam family "Bacterial small subunit ribosomal RNA", at positions 527 to 896 of the family's 1533-position model. The record is from RNAcentral.